CGUGUAGGCGGCCCGGUAAGUCCGCUGUGAAAGUCGGGGGCUCAACCCUCGGAAGCCGGUGGAUACUGUCGGGCUCGAGUACGGAAGAGGCGAGUGGAAUUCCUGGUGUAGCGGUGAAAUGCGCAGAUAUCAGGAGGAACACCAAUUGCGAAGGCAGCUCGCUGGGACGUAACUGACGCUGAGACGCGAAAGCGUGGGGAGCAAACA
This 207-nucleotide ribosomal RNA is filed under the name uncultured bacterium. RNAcentral describes it as "partial 16S ribosomal RNA". It matches the Rfam family "Bacterial small subunit ribosomal RNA", at positions 568 to 774 of the family's 1533-position model. The record is from RNAcentral.